CCGGGGUGAGUGAAACGGCUUACACGUCUGUCUCAUAAGCAGAAAACAGUGGGUUCAACUCCCACACCCCGAA
RNAcentral lists this transfer RNA (73 nucleotides) under Bacteriophage sp. RNAcentral's name for it is "tRNA-Met". It matches the Rfam family "tRNA". From Rfam's summary of the family: Transfer RNA (tRNA) molecules are approximately 80 nucleotides in length. Their secondary structure includes four short double-helical elements and three loops (D, anti-codon, and T loops). The record is from RNAcentral.